RNAcentral lists this long non-coding RNA (775 nucleotides) under Fukomys damarensis (Damara mole-rat). RNAcentral's name for it is "lncRNA (ENSFDAG00000025126.1)". Lineage: Eukaryota; Metazoa; Chordata; Mammalia; Rodentia; Bathyergidae. The record is from RNAcentral.
ACCGUCACCACGGUCACCAUCACUAACCACAAGCACAGAAGGCCGCUGAGCACAACACACUGUGACAGCAAGCAUUUGGGGAACGGAAAACGAAUAGGAUGCUGGGGUCCUUGUCCUCAACUGCUCACCUAAUGGAACCACUGCCAGGUGUGCAACAUAAAGAAUGUUGAAUGAGAGAUGAAAUUAUGCUAUCUGAUAGAAGUACAACAAUGAGAGCUACACAGGCCUCUCUGCUCCUUCACUGACAGAAUCUGCUUCCUCCCCUGGGAGGGGAGCUGUGCAGGCGGCGGCCAGGAGAGCAGGCCCCCAAGAGCUGAGAGACGCCAAUCUUAGUUUCCAGACAGGACAGAUGGGACUGUGUUCAACCUGCUCUAGCAACACCAAGAUGGCCUCCAACCCUGGCAGGGUGAGCCCCACACCCCAGCCGAGUCCCUACAAGCUCCUGGGGCAACCCUGGCUAUGAAGGAUCAGCUCAAGUUCACCUUGUACUAGGGCUGGAGUGGCCAGCAUAAGAAUGGUUUCCUCCUCAGAAAAACAAGAAAAUACAUGAAAGGUGCAAUUAUCAGGAGCCAGGACUACUUGCAAACUAUAGAGGUGACAUAAGGUGAAUUCAUUUCCUUCCUGUCAGAAGAAACUCAACAAGGCUGUAAUCAGAAGCUAAUGUGUGUGCCUGUGAUUGGGCCCAUCACAGGUGGCACAUAAAUGAACAAAUGCUCCAUGCCUGAAGGAACAUAGCAAAGCCCCUUCUCCAAGAAGUGUCAUUCAUUUGGCCAGC